ACCAACACUUGAGUUUGAGAUUGCCACUGGAUGUUGAGUCGAAAAAUGAAACAUAAAGUACCUAACUUGCACACAGAAAACAAACUAUAUGUUGAGUAUAACUCAGUGGUAUUUCUAUAAUCCGAACAUAAAAGCAAAAAAUAAAUCAUCAAGAUGUAUAAGUUAAAAUCUAAACAUUUUGCAACUUAUCACAUUCAAAAUACCAAUUUCACAUAUCCAUAGAUCCGAAACUAGCACAUUUCCACAAUAUUAGUAUAUGACUAUCACACUUCACAAGUCAUUCAAUAACAUAACCCUUGUAAUGUCAUGUUUCAUAUCAAUUUCCAGUCUCAUGUUUUCAUGGAACAUGAUAUAUCAUUGUUUACAAUUCAUUCCACAAUUUCUUAUUUUAUUUUCCAUUUCAAUUCCAUUUCUCUUCUUUUUUUUCCCUAUCAAUAUCAUAUAACUCAUUUUAUCAUUUAUUUCCCUAUUACCACGACUUGGACUUAAACAGAUACACGGAUCCAACCAACACAUUGAUUUGGCACCCAGUGCCCGAAGCAAAUAGUUGCGCCGAAUGCUAUUAAUAAGUUUGACACCUAGUGUCUCAUUGGUUAAACUGAAACAAAUUGGCACCCAGAGCCUAAUCUACUUAUAGUCGAAGAAUCCCUGAGCUCUUCCUAUCCUAUGGUACACUAUCUAUAUCUGACUCUACGCAAACAGUUAAUAGUGUUUUCGUUACCAACCAAUAUCUCUAUUCCCAUUUGUUUUCAAUAUGAAAGCAUUUAUUCAUCAUUCACAACAUCAACAAUAUUUCAAUACAUACUCAAUUUUCAAAUUUAUAGAAAAUACACACAUUUCACAAAUAUAAUCAAUUUCUUCAUAAUCAUCAAUUGAUUCAAAUCAUCUCAAAUGAUCAAUAAAUCUUACCUCAUAACCUUACCAUGAAUAAAUAAGUCAAUAUGAAGCAAUCUAUAAGUUAGUUUGAAUUAUAGAAACACAAAUCGUAAAUUUCGAACUAUUCAUCGGUGACUUUGUCUUUUCCUUUCUUUUUCGAAGAAUUUGGGUUGACAUUAGCUACGGAUUAAAACAGACAUAAUAAAUUAUCAAUACAUAGCCAAUUUCACAUUCAAUUUCCAAUUUAUACAACUUUUACAUUUUAUUCAAUUUAGUCCCUAAAAUCGGGGCUAACAUAACUUUCACAUUUAACCUCCAAUUUUUAUAUCGUUUUCACUCUAGGCCUAAUUUAACUUUCUAUUUCACAUUUCUACCAAUAAAUUCAAUAUUUAUUCAUUUUAGUCCCUAUUGCACAACUUUAACAAUUCACUUUACAAUCUAGUCCUUAUCAAUUCUAAACUUAAAAUUUAUCAAAAUAGCACCUCAAAGUCUAAAUAUUCAAUGAUUAUAAUGUAACGACUCGAAAUUUAGUGGUACCAAAAAAUUUGAUUUUGAGACUUCGUUUCUAUAAACCGAUGUCAUAAAUAUUUUUAAUUAAAUAUUUACGGAGUUAUGUUAUAGGUGAAUUGAUUUUUUUUGGUUAGGUAAUUUUAUCGAAUUAGUGUUUGACUAAGGUACUGGGACUAAAUCGUAAAAUUUGUAAAAUUUCAAUUGUUAUAGAUUAUUAUUUAAUAAUAGAAUAAGUACUUAAGUGGUAAUUAAACCAAUACAUAAAGAAUAGUGGACGACUAGUGGAUUGUUUUACUUAUUUAUGUAAUAAAAUGUUAAUAAAAUAAUAAUUAAAAAAAAUCUCAUUAAUACUAAAAAAUGGGGUUUUAAUAAAAAAAAGAAGAAUAUUAAAAAAAGAGGAGAGUCUUCUUCAACCUGGAUUAUUUUUUUUUUGAAAGGGAGGACACUUAAAAAAAAUUCUGCUUUAAAAAAAAUUCUGCUUGUUUUUCUGGCUACAAUUCGAUUAGAGAGGGAGAAGAGAAUUGUUGCAUGCUAAAUUUUGAGCUCGUUUAGAAGCUAAUUUUCCUCAAGAAACUUGCAAAAAGGGGAAGGAGAAGGCAGCGGCAAAGGGGAAGAGAUCUUACUCAAGGUUAUGGUUGACUUCGAGUUUCUGUGAGUCCUCUAUACAUUUUUCUUUCUUGAUUGCUUUGUUACACUUUCAUGCUGGUAUGAAUGUAUAAAUCCAAGGAAAAUUUUGGUGGAAUGCAUGUUGUCGAGGGAGCUGCUUAUGCAUGCAGUUUUUUUUUAAGCAGGCUAUUAAAUUUCUUCGCCAGAAAAAGGUGGUUCGGUUGGUGGUGAUCUA
Molecule: long non-coding RNA, 2227 nt
Filed under: Gossypium barbadense (sea-island cotton)
Lineage: Eukaryota; Viridiplantae; Streptophyta; Magnoliopsida; Malvales; Malvaceae
Description: long non-coding RNA (GBAR_LNC020015)
Source: RNAcentral